Molecule: non-coding RNA, 113 nt
Organism: Acanthosepion pharaonis
Lineage: Eukaryota; Metazoa; Mollusca; Cephalopoda; Sepiida; Sepiidae
Source: the annotation of a GenBank genome assembly
UUACGGCCAUAUCACGUUGAAGCACCGGUUCCCGUACAAUCACCGAAGUUAACGAACGUUGAGCCUGGUCAAUACCUAGAUGGAUGACAGAUUGGGAAUACCGGAUUCUGUAA